This 487-nucleotide ribosomal RNA is filed under the name uncultured bacterium. Its description in RNAcentral is "bacterial SSU rRNA". It matches the Rfam family "Bacterial small subunit ribosomal RNA", at positions 28 to 507 of the family's 1533-position model. The record is from RNAcentral.
GAUGAACGCUAGCGACAGGCUUAACACAUGCAAGUCGAGGGGCAGCGAGGGCGUAGCAAUACGCCUGUCGGCGACCGGCGCACUGGUGAGUAACACGUAUGCGACCUGCCCCCUACAGGGGUAUAACCCGUAGAAAUGCGGACUAAUCCCCCAUAGUCCUGGAGGCUGCAUGGCUUUCAGGGGAAAGGGUUUCCGGUAGGGGAUGGGCAUGCGGCGCAUUAGCUAGUUGGCGGGGCAACGGCCCACCAAGGCGACGAUGCGUAGGGGUUCUGAGAGGAAGGUCCCCCACACUGGUACUGAGACACGGACCAGACUCCUACGGGAGGCAGCAGUGAGGAAUAUUGGUCAAUGGGCGAGAGCCUGAACCAGCCAAGUCGCGUGAGGGAAGAAGGUCCUACGGAUUGUAAAACCUCUUUUGCCGGGGAGUAACGUGCGGGACGGUCCCGUAUUGAGAGUACCCGAAGAAAAAGCAUCGGCUAACUCCGUG